AUAAUUAGCGAAAUACAGCAAAUAUAUAACAUCACAUGCAUCGUUACUUUCAACUUUUCAAGUCAAGAUGAAGACGUUCCUUCUAUUCAUGGUUCUGAUGGCUUUCGUCUCAUCCAUCUAUUGUCACCCACAUCCUCCCGGGUUCGUUUGCAUGUGUGCACCCGGCGAGCCUGUGUGCGCGAGCAACCACCGGACUUACUAUGGCGAGUGUAAUAUGAGGUGCGAUGCAAGUCUGAAAAACAUUUACUUGACGAAAUUAUACGACGGACCGUGUAAAGAAUAGGUGCAUUAUAAAUUUUCGACUGAAAAAACGUAUGGAGUAAUAACAUCUAUCACAAACCACGUUUCUGGUCGAAAAUAAUGAACAUCCUGUCGAAUAAAUAAAGCUAAAAAAAUAA
This is a long non-coding RNA of Colias croceus (clouded yellow), 398 nucleotides long. RefSeq lists it as uncharacterized. Lineage: Eukaryota; Metazoa; Arthropoda; Insecta; Lepidoptera; Pieridae. The transcript has 2 exons. The record is from RefSeq and is a predicted model, not a curated record.